Molecule: small nucleolar RNA, 106 nt
Organism: Gossypium arboreum
Lineage: Eukaryota; Viridiplantae; Streptophyta; Magnoliopsida; Malvales; Malvaceae
Rfam family: Plant small nucleolar RNA R71
About the family: R71 is a member of the C/D box family of snoRNAs containing the C (UGAUGA) and D (CUGA) box motifs.
Source: Rfam
AUGUCAUUAUGAGGGACUUUCGUAAUAACUCCUUAAGCUGCUCCCAUGUCUCAUAUAGAGAUUCUUCAUAAAAUUGUUGAAAUGAAGUGAUUUCAUUUUGGAGCUU